This 477-nucleotide ribosomal RNA is filed under the name uncultured bacterium. RNAcentral describes it as "partial 16S ribosomal RNA". It matches the Rfam family "Bacterial small subunit ribosomal RNA", at positions 28 to 507 of the family's 1533-position model. The record is from RNAcentral.
GAUGAACGCUGGCGGCGUGCCUAAUACAUGCAAGUCGAGCGAACAGAUGCGGAGCUUGCUCGUCUGACGUUAGCGGCGCAGGGGUGAGUAACGUGUGGAUAACCUACCUAUCAUACUGGGAUAACUUCGGGACUCCGGAGCUAAUACCGUAUAAUCUAUUGAACCGUAUGGUUCAUUGGUAAAAGACGGCUUUGGUGUCGCUUGUGGAUGGUUCUGCGCCUCAUCAGCUAGUUGGUAGGGUCGUGGCUUACCAAGGCGACGAUGGGUAGCCGACCUGAGAGGGUGACCGGCCACAUGGGGACUGAGAUAGGGCCCAGACUCCUACGGGAGGCAGCAGUGGGGAAUAUUGCACAAUGGGCGGAAGCCUGAUGCAGAAACGCCGCGUGCGGGAUGACGGCCUUCGGGUUGUAAACCGCUUUCGCCUGUGACGAAGCGUGAGUGACGGUAAUGGGUAAAGAAGCACCGGCUAACUACGUG